Non-coding RNA from Hippopotamus amphibius kiboko, 488 nucleotides. NCBI's taxonomy places the organism in Eukaryota, Metazoa, Chordata, Mammalia, Artiodactyla, Hippopotamidae. The record is from the annotation of a RefSeq genome assembly.
CGAAGACACAGGAGCAGCUCCUCAGGGGAGAAGAUUUGGAAUCACUAAAAUUGUAUCAAGAGUGAGAUACCGGGAUGGAGAACGUGCAGGAAUGUGCAUUGAUAGUCCUGUGGCUUCAGCUUGGCUGGUUGAGUGGAGACGACCAGGUGGAGCAGAGUCCUCAGACCCUGAAAACCCAGGAGGGAAACAGUAUCAGCCUCAACUGCAGCUACACCGUCAGCAGUUUUAGAGGGCUACAGUGGUACAGACAAGAUCCUGGGAAGGGCCCCGAGCUCCUCUUCCUCCUUUCCUCAGUUGGGGAUGAAAAGCAGAGAGAAAGACUAAGAGCCACCCUGUUAAAGAAAGGAAGUGCUCUGCACAUCGAAGCCUCUAAACCCGAAGACUCAGCUACUUACCUCUGUGCUGUGGAGACACAGUGCUCCCCAGGCACCUGCAGCCUGUACACAAACCCCGCAGUUGGCUCCAGACACACCCUGCUGUGUAAAUAA